CCGGAGCCACCUCGGACCGGAGCCCAACCGGCUCCGGGGACUGUGCGUGCGACAGGGUAGUGCGGCGGCGCUCGCGCUGACCGGGUACUGGACCUCCGCCUGCAAUCCGGACGCCUCCAUAAAAACUGCGAGCUCCCCGGCACCCCACCCUCCAGCACAGAGCUGCGGCUCUGAAAAGUCAGCAACUGGAGACGCCAUUGCCCUUCCCACCCUUGCGGUGGCCGGGGACGAGCCAGUCGCAGUGCCUGUGUGCGGCGGGGCGCGCCGCAGGUAGGGGACAGCAGAUCUGCGAAGCCAUUUUCUGGGCGGAUUUGCAGUCAUUUCUACUCUUGAGAGAACUGACGGGGAUAGUAUGGCGGGGGCCUGGGGGGUGCCAGAUGAUGUCACCAGGAGCAGUUGACCUGGGGGUUACUCUGUUCUCUGACCCUAACCUGCUCCAAGACCCAGCGCCAGACGUCAGUCUUUUCAUCUACAAAAAUGCAAGGAAGGAUUAAAAUCAGACCGUGAAAAAUGCUUACAGCACAAGUAUCCAGGGAGGCUGUCCUUUUCAACUGCAUUGAAUAACCACCGAGAACAGCCCAAAGGGAUCGAACUCAGGACCUUGUGCUUGCAAGGCAGGCGGCGGCACCACUGAGCUAAAUCCUCGGCCCUGUGGGUUCAAUCUUUAGGGCUGAAAUAAAGAAAUGCUGAAAACAAAUACAGUUUUGGGGUUUUUUUGUGAAUGAAUACUGGGGAUCCAACUAGGGCCUAUGUGUGCUAAGCAUGUGUUCUACCACUGAACUAUUUCCCCAGCUGUCUUGUUCUAGUUUUUAAACAUACAGGGAAGGGAGGCAAGAGUGACUCUGUGACCCAUCAAGUCCCUCAGCUCAAAGACCCUCUGACCAUCCAUGUAUUUAUUGUAGGCAGUAGUCCUUAAGGACCUAGUACCCCCCUACUCCAAAGGGCUUACAAGGGGCUUGGGGCACCUGCUUCAGCUCCCUCCCCAGUGUCAAGUUCUUCCCCAGCGUCAAGUUUAAUCUCAACCCCUUCCAC
Molecule: long non-coding RNA, 1032 nt
Filed under: Heterocephalus glaber (naked mole-rat)
Lineage: Eukaryota; Metazoa; Chordata; Mammalia; Rodentia; Bathyergidae
Description: lncRNA (ENSHGLG00100037335.1)
Source: RNAcentral